UGAUGCAGCGACGCCGCGUGAGGGAUGACGGCCUUCGGGUUGUAAACCUCUUCAGCAGGGAAGAAGCGCAAGUGACGGUACCUGCAGAAGAAGCACCGGCUAACUACGUGCCAGCAGCCGCGGUAAUACGUAGGGUGUGAGCGUUGUCCGGAAUUAUUGGGCGUAAAGAGCUUGUAGGCGGUUUGUCGCGUCUGCCGUGAAAAUCCGAGGCUCAACCUCGGACUUGCGGUGGGUACGGGCAGACUAGAGUGUGGUAGGGGAGACUGGAAUUCCUGGUGUAGCGGUGAAAUGCGCAGAUAUCAGGAGGAACACCGAUGGCGAAGGCAGGUCUCUGGGCCACUACUGACGCUGAGAAGCGAAAGCAUGGGGAGCGAACAGGAUUAGAUACCCUGGUAGUCCAUGCCGUAAACGUUGGGCGCUAGGUGUGGGACCCAUUCCACGGGUUCCGUGCCGCAGCUAACGCAUUAAGCGCCCCGCCUGGGGAGUACGGCCGCAAGGCUA
This 501-nucleotide ribosomal RNA is filed under the name uncultured Actinomycetes bacterium. RNAcentral's name for it is "bacterial SSU rRNA". It matches the Rfam family "Bacterial small subunit ribosomal RNA", at positions 384 to 896 of the family's 1533-position model. The record is from RNAcentral. Lineage: Bacteria; Bacillati; Actinomycetota; Actinomycetes.